This is a long non-coding RNA of Esox lucius (northern pike), 4830 nucleotides long. Lineage: Eukaryota; Metazoa; Chordata; Actinopteri; Esociformes; Esocidae. The record is from Ensembl.
CUUCCCUGAGCUCCUCCCUUCCCCGUCAACACACCUCUCUGUGCUCUCCUCCCAUCUCACUUCCUCCUCUCUUCCCUGAGCUCCCUCCCUUCCCCGUCUACACACCUCUCUGUGCUCUCCUCCCAUCUCACUUCCUCCUCUCUUCCCUGAGCUCCUCCCUUUCCCGUCAACACACCUCUCUGUGCUCUCCUCCCAUCUCACUUCCUCCUAUCUUCCCUGGAUCCGUUCCUUCCAUUCACCAAUCACCUCCCACAAAUAGGUCAGGAGCUGGUGGGGUUGUUAAAGUGGAACUGCAUUGAUUUAUGCAGUAUGGGAUUUUACGAAGCAUGUUCCAACAGCUCAAAAUCCAAAACGGCCAGUGGUAACUAAAAAUGACGUGCACAUUCCAGUUGACCGAUAGGGCACAGCCAUCUUGAGCGUCACGACCAUGGUCAAUGGCAAUCAGUGUCGGGACAAUGGCUUGUAGCUACGAAGCGCCAAAGUCCAUCUGUUGCCCUGGAUUCUGGAUUUCCAGUGCACACUUCAUUGACGAGAAUUAGAAGAGAAAGUUCAAUGCCUCUGGGAUGCAAACAAUGUUUUCAGAUUGGCUGCAACUUCGGAAUAAACGCGUGGUCUUGUAGCCAGCAAAUGGGCAUUGUGGAUUGCGUCAGGAUCUGUAUAAUUCAAUCGCAGCAGCCAGAGAUAUACUUUAGUGCUUUUAAACAACUGGUUAGUUAACUAUUUUGUCACCUCUGGGGCUAACUAAUCUCUAUGGGCAAAACUAUAUUUCCUGGUUUAAACGGAAACAGCGAUUGGACCACCGCAACGAAUGGGUUGAAAUGCAUAUGCCUUGGGAUGAACAGGGACCAUUUCAAUGAGUCAGUCUUCUCCCAUUUCAAAAAGUACCACCGUAGAUGUGCGGCGUUGAGACGAGACGCAGUCGUGGAGGUCAUUUCAAAAAUGAUGAUGCAACUCGCGUUUCAUGUACAUAUUAGGCAUUACAGAACAUACAAUAUGAAUUUUUAUGGUAUUUUCUAUUAUUAAAUAUACAUAUCACAACUUGUUAUGUCUUAGUUGGUAGAGAAUAGUGCUUGCAAUGCCAGCGUUGUGGUUUCAAUUCCCACAGGGGACAGAAUGAGAAUGAACAAGUACGAAAACAUAAUGCAGUCACUACUGUAAGUCACUGAGGAUAAGAGCAUCUGUUAAAUGACUAAAAUGGAAAUUUGAAGUGAGAGUGAGAUGGAAGGCUCAGAGCAGGCAGAGCUCUCUCUCAUCGACUCAGGAUCUGAGGGACGCCGGGUCUGUGAGACGCCAAUUUAACAGGCUGAGCAGUAAAUACAUACACGCAACACACCUGUCAGGUCUCCGUGGAAGCCUGCCUCUGUUCCUCCGCUCUGCUCAUCUGACUGUUGUAGGACACGGAGACCAAAGGGAGGCAGGAGCAUUGGCUAGAAUCCCUGUUCUCACCGCCAGGACUCCUGUUGGGGUCAGGGACUGACACAGAAAAACACAAGCACAAUGUACACACACAUGCUCUCACAUACAAUAUUAUAGCAUGCACGAACGCGCGCACACCCAUACACACACCCAUACACACACGCAUACACACACCCAUACACACACCCAUACACACACGCAUACACACACGCAUUCACACACCCAUACACACACCCAUACACACAAAGCACUGAUGGGGACACAAACACACAUAGUUAAAGACAAACGGAGGCUAUUUUAGUGCUCUCUGCGUAUGUGUAGGAACAAAAGAACAGGUUGGUACGUCAGAAAGACACCCAAAGAUAUAAACAAGAAAAAAGACAGUCCUUCAAUAAGUAGGAGACAAAGAGGAAGAGAACAGGACAGAAAGUGAGUGAGGGGGGAUUUGGAGAGGGAGAGAGAGACCAAGGUUGCUGGAUGAGGGAGAGAGAGAGACCACGGUUUGCUGGAUGAGGGAGAAAGAGAGAGACCAAGGUUGCUGGAUGAGGGAGAGAGAGACCAAGGUUGCUGGAUGAGGGAGAGAGAGACCAAGGUUGCUGGAUGAGGGAGAGAGAGAGACCACGGUUUGCUGGAUGAGGGAGAAAGAGAGAGACCAAGGUUGCUGGAUAAGGGAGAGAGAGACCAAGGUUUGCUGGAUGAGGGAGAGAGAGAGAGACCAAGGUUGCUGGAUGAGGGAGAGAGAGACCAAGGUUGCUGGAUGAGGGAGAGAGAGAGACCAAGGUUUGCUGGAUGAGGGAGAAAGAGAGAGACCAAGGUUGCUGGAUAAGGGAGAGAGAGACCAAGGUUGCUGGAUGAGGGACAGAGAGAGAGACUAAGGUUUGCUGGAUGAGGGAGAGAGAGAGAGACCAAGGUUGCUGGAUGAGGGAAAGAGAGAGAGACCAAGGUUGCUGGAUGAGGGAAAGAGAGAGAGACCAAGGUUUGCUGGAUGAGGGAGAGAGAGAGAGACCAAGGUUUGCUGGAUGAGGGAGAGAGAGAGACCAAGGUUUGCUGGAUGAGGGAGAGAGAGAGAGACCAAGGUUUGCUGGAUGAGGGAGAGAGAGAGACCAAGGUUUGCUGGAUGAGGGAGAGAGAGAGACCAAGGUUGCUGGAUGAGGGAUAGAGAGAGACCAAGGUUUGCUGGAUGAGGGAGAGAGAGAGAGAGACCAAGGUUGCUGGAUGAGCGACAGAGAGAGAGAUGCAGCAGAUGAUAGGAAAGAUAAAACAGACACCAGCACAAUUAGGCGUUCCUGCUGUGUCUCUCACUGAAGCUGGUUCACUGGCCAGCUGUAAGCUCCAGCCUCCCCUACUGCACACUGCAGAUAGCUUCAUGACGGCUCUGUGCACAACUGCGCAUACACACACACACACACAACAGCCCCAGCACACACAUUGCAGCGUUCAAGUUAGCUCAGAGCAGACACUGCAGCUUUCAUGUUUACACAGUUCAGUCCUGCAAACAUGCGCACACACACACACACAUACACACACACACACACACACAUAUAUUCUUUCUGCAGUACUGAUAGCGCUGGGGCGUUCUCCUUCAGCAAGCAUGAGUACACACAGUACAGAGGUAGAAAGACAGGAGCGAGAGAGGGAGAGAAAGAGGUAGAGAAAAAGAGGGGGAGGUAGAGUGGGAGGCAAAUGAAGAGAAGAGACACAGACACACUGCACCUGCAGAAAACACAAGUAUACACCCACACAGUUGAAGAGCAUGCUGAACAUUAUCUUUGUGUCCUUGCUUUGCAGUGAACAGCUCUAAUGGGUGGUUUGUAUGUGUCCUCCAGGCUUUGUAAAUAGAACCACCACCCAGGUCCAGUGAGAAUCACCUAUGCAGCGUGACAGCCAGGACAUCCCGCCUCCAACCACAGCUGACCAUGAGGAUGAGUCAUGAGAGGACAUCAUGACAGACAAACGCAUCAGCCAAUCGGGACGUAGGGGCUCCUCUUAGGCACCGAUGAUUGCAGCAAUACAGGCACAGGACAGCAGGUCCAUUAGAGAAACCCACAUAGCCCCGGCAACAGCCCAUGAUAACCAGACAGACAGACAGACUGACUGACUGCAGUGUGUUCACAGGCUUUCCACAGCUCUGUCUGUUUCUGACGUCUAGAUACAUGACAGCCAUGGUUACUUAGAGACCAGCCCUCCACGGAGAGAGGGGGACGCAGUGUACUGCUCAGCAUCUGGAAUGGUCCCUAUCAUUCUUGGACAACUGGUGAACUGUGAUUGGUCAGACCAGGUCCUCUGUGGCUACGCUGUCUGAGUUCCAAGUGUGUGUGUAUGUCGGGGGUGUGUGUGUGUGUGUGGGUGUGUGUGUGUGAGAAGAGAGCGUAUCAAGAUGUCAUGCGUCAUAAGAUGCCGCCCCUCCACUGGAUGUAUUUUAAUGUGCGCUUAAGUGUUAUACAAUUGUACAUGGCGUGCUUCAACAGGUUCUAAAUAUGAUUAUGAUAUUGAGAGAAAAAAAAUAACAGUAUUUUAAUAUAACGCUCUUCUUCCGAGAUGUAUUUGGAUGUGCAUAUUAUGGCUAUACGACCCCACUGAGUCAAUGUGGAUAUCUGUCCUGCUUUGUGUUCAAUAAAAAAAAAAGAUAGGAUAAAAAAAUAAUAAUAAUCCACAUCAAUAGCCACACCAUCGUAGUACUUAGAACACAGGCCUAAUAUGCUGCUUCAUUCUGAGUGGGUUGUGAGCUGGUGUGGAUAUUGGGUCAAAGUUCACGCAGUCAAAGUUCAGCCAAUGUGCACACAUAACAUGAUGCACAGUAGAUGCCACAUCACCAUGAAGGUGAAGGAAAGGUCAGGCCCUAGGGCCCGGGCUAAUGUCCUCUCUCACGGUACAUCUCAUCACAGACCCCCAUUGAUAUCGCCGCUGUUCUCCAUCACCGAAUGCAAGGCUGCUUUUACCAUAGAAGUAACUGGGACACGACUCGGAACGGAUUCUUAGCACUGUCUCUAUCCUCCCAGUGUGUUCGUAACGUAGCCUCCAUCUAACUACAGCAUCCGGUCAGCUGACACACUCAGCGAGCAUCCAGACAGGAGCAAGUCACCCCACCGCCAAACCUCUCGUUGUUCUAUUGCUCUCAUUAUUUAAUGGUGUACAUAGUAUUUGACGCUGUUUAAAUGGAAGACGUGAUGUACUAAUAUAAUUGUGUAUAGUAUUUCCUAGAGAUGUUUAUUUUCUAUGAAAUGUUAUUGCUUAUAAAAUGUUAUUAAAAGAAUCCAUAAAAAAUUAAAAGACUUUUGGGAAUGUCACUGGUUCUAAGUUGAGCAUGCAGUUUCUUUUUCAUGUUUCUCUUGUUUUAAAUCGAUGACACUACAUCACUUUGUUUGAAAUGUUUUUGUAACGCCGAUGUCAAAUAUACCAGCACCUUUCAAUGCU